Molecule: ribosomal RNA, 253 nt
Filed under: uncultured bacterium
Lineage: Bacteria
Description: partial 16S ribosomal RNA
Rfam family: Bacterial small subunit ribosomal RNA
Source: RNAcentral
UACGUAGGGUGCAAGCGUUAAUCGGAAUUACUGGGCGUAAAGCGUGCGCAGGCGGUUUUGUAAGUCUGUCGUGAAAUCCCCGGGCUCAACCUGGGAAUUGCGAUGGAGACUGCAAGGCUAGAAUCUGGCAGAGGGGGGUAGAAUUCCACGUGUAGCAGUGAAAUGCGUAGAGAUGUGGAGGAACACCGAUGGCGAAGGCAGCGCCCUGGGUCAAGAUUGACGCUCAUGCACGAAAGCGUGGGGAGCAAACAGG